UUAAGUAUUAAUAAGAUGAUCAGGAGCAUCUCCCCCCUUUCUUUCUCUUUCUCUUCCUGGUUCCGUCCUGCUGCCGCAAAGGCUCCUGGGAGUCGUAGUUCUUCUAGGCAAUGGACGGCCUCAACAUGGAACCCGACUCCACUUCCGAAUCCCCGGCGGCAGGGAAGGGUUAGUCCACUCGUCCCUCCGCAUCGGCGAGGGUUAGGGGCGCAGGAGCCGCCCCCUGAAUGUUCAGGACUCAUAGAGGUGGAACAGAAGUUCCUUUUCAGUGCAGGUACCGCAGAGAAACUGGCAACACUGGGUGGAACUCUGCAAAGUGACUACUCCUUCCGCGACCAGUAUUAUGAUGUGAUGGACCUACGGCUCACCCUAGCUGACCACUGGCUCCGGCAUCGCCAGGGGGCUGGCUGGGAGCUGAAAUGCCCCCCACAGCCACUAAAGGGUGCCAGAGGUCCAGGCUGUGCCAUAGAGAGUCCAGCCAUAGAGAGCCUCAGGCCCCAGGGCAGACAUCAAGCACCAACUGGAGGCCAUGCAGACACUGGGGACCAGUUGCAGCCACUGGAAAGUCUGGGCCAGACCCAUGCUGCAGUGCAAUACCUUGAGGUGACCUGCCCACGAGAUAUUGUGAAUCGCAUCUGUGGACUGCUGGGCGUGGAGCCAGCUACAGUUUGGCACGAAAAUGUGGCCAGAGCAGUAGAGGACCUUGGCCUGCAGGAGUUUGCCAGCUUUGUCACCCGACGGUGCCAAUAUCGUUUGGGUGACCUGAAUGUGGAUCUGGAUGAGGCAGAUUUUGGUUACGCCGUGGGAGAGGUAGAAGCCAUGGUCAAGCGGCAGGAAGAAAUACCAGCGGCUCUGGAGAGCAUCCGGAAGCUGGGUAUUCAGCUGGGCUUUGAUGAGAGAACCAGGAAUCCUGGCAAGAUGUCUGCCUAUCUGUAUAAAUUCAGACCAGCACAUUAUGAAGCCCUGGUACGAGGUGGAAGACUCAGGAAAAUGGGAGAUGGAACACAUGGGCAAGAAGGAAAGGACUGAUGGGGGGGGGGUUGCUGAGGAAAGGACCCUUCCCUCUAGGCUAGCUGCAUCCUAUACCAGUGCAAUUCUCAGAUGGAGAGAGGAGAAAUUAAUGCGAACAAAACAGCACAGAAAAAAAAUAUUGUGAGGAUUCACACACACCCCUUUCUCAAAUUUGCCCAACUGAAUUUCUAAAUCCAUCCAGUCAGCUGUGAAGAUUUAGCAUGCUAUAGCUGACUCCUUUCCAUAGUGAGAACCCUUGUAUGCAUUUUGUAAUAUCACAGCAAGUCAUCCAAAAGCUGCAAGUGGGGAAGAGUUCCCUGUCAACAGACUGGGUUUUGCCCUAUGACAUAAGAAGAGAAGAUGAACCUGGAAAGUGUUUAUUCACACUUCUAUAUCAAACCAAUCCAAUAGAAAUGACUGUAAAAAAUGUAAAGAGUCAGGAAACAGAGGAGCGGGGAACGGCCCAAAGGAAGCACAACUACUUCAUGUAAAACUGGUCUGGAUCCAUGGAACCUCUUGCCACAUUCUUACCUUCUUUGGGUUCAACACUCGAAUGACCUGCGUGAGAGGGGGUCUGCCCUGGCCAGGGACUGUAGAACCGCUGGGGGGCAAGAGCUCCACCUGGAAGGACUGGCACAAAGACAAGGCAACAGAAGUCUUCAGGCAACAUGCAUUUUGUUGUUGUGUGCCUUCAAGUCAACUUCAGCCUAUAGACAUCCAAUCCUAGGUUUUACGUAGCAAGAAUGUCUCCCCAGACAAAUGUUUGUCUUGGCCUUCCUCUAGGGCUGAGAGAGUGGGACUUUCCCAAGGUCACCCACUGGGUUGCUGAAGCAGAAUGGCAAGUCGAACCCUAACCUCCCUGAGCCCUAGUCCAAAACUCAAACCAUGACACCGCACUGGCUCUCUAAUAAAUGUAUGUUUGGAAUAAACUUUUAUAGAGGAAGAGGGCUGCAAUUCACAAAAGUUUAUGUCAAAUAAA
Sceloporus undulatus (fence lizard) is the source of this 1990-nucleotide RNA transcript. It is a transcript of the gene named thiamine triphosphatase, with no coding region annotated. The record is from RefSeq and is a predicted model, not a curated record. NCBI's taxonomy places the organism in Eukaryota, Metazoa, Chordata, Lepidosauria, Squamata, Phrynosomatidae. The transcript has 4 exons.